Molecule: microRNA, 24 nt
Filed under: Lingula anatina
Lineage: Eukaryota; Metazoa; Brachiopoda; Lingulata; Lingulida; Lingulidae
Description: Lan-Mir-193-P2q_5p* (star (passenger))
Source: RNAcentral
UGGGAUUUCGUGGGACAUUCUGUG